RNAcentral lists this ribosomal RNA (472 nucleotides) under uncultured bacterium. Its description in RNAcentral is "partial 16S ribosomal RNA". It matches the Rfam family "Bacterial small subunit ribosomal RNA", at positions 28 to 507 of the family's 1533-position model. The record is from RNAcentral.
GACGAACGCUGGCGGCGUGCUUAACACAUGCAAGUCGAACGCUGAAGCUUGGUGCUUGCACUGGGUGGAUGGGUGGCGAACGGGUGAGUAAUACGUGAGUAACCUGGCCUUUACUCUGGGAUAAGCCUGGGAAACUGGGUCUAAUACUGGAUACGACAUGCCACUGCAUGGUGGUGUGUGGAAAGGGUUUUACUGGUUUUGGAUGGGCUCACGGCCUAUCAGCUUGUUGGUGGGGUAAUGGCGUACCAAGGCGACGCCGGGUAGCCGGCCUGAGAGGGUGACAGGACACACUGGGACUGAGACAAGGCACAGACUCCUACGGGAGGCAGCAGUGGGGAAUAUAGCACAAUGGGCGGAAGCCUGAUGCAGCGAAGCCGCGUGAGGGAUGACGGCAUUCGGGUUGUAAACCUCUUCCAGCACGGAAGAAGCGAGAGUGACGGUACGUGCAGAAGAAGCGCCGGCUAACUACGUG